UAGGGAAUCUUCCACAAUGGACGCAAGUCUGAUGGAGCAACGCCGCGUGAGUGAAGAAGGUUUUCGGAUCGUAAAGCUCUGUUGUUGGUGAAGAAGGAUAGAGGCAGUAACUGGUCUUUAUUUGACGGUAAUCAACCAGAAAGUCACGGCUAACUACGUGCCAGCAGCCGCGGUAAUACGUAGGUGGCAAGCGUUGUCCGGAUUUAUUGGGCGUAAAGCGAGCGCAGGCGGAAUGAUAAGUCUGAUGUGAAAGCCCACGGCUCAACCGUGGAACUGCAUCGGAAACUGUCAUUCUUGAGUGCAGAAGAGGAGAGUGGAAUUCCAUGUGUAGCGGUGGAAUGCGUAGAUAUAUGGAGGAACACCAGUGGCGAAGGCGGCUCUCUGGUCUGCAACUGACGCUGAGGCUCGAAAGCAUGGGUAGCGAACAGG
This 429-nucleotide ribosomal RNA is filed under the name bacterium. Its description in RNAcentral is "partial 16S ribosomal RNA". It matches the Rfam family "Bacterial small subunit ribosomal RNA", at positions 355 to 776 of the family's 1533-position model. The record is from RNAcentral.